RNAcentral lists this long non-coding RNA (657 nucleotides) under Prunus dulcis (almond). RNAcentral describes it as "sRNA ncRNA". Lineage: Eukaryota; Viridiplantae; Streptophyta; Magnoliopsida; Rosales; Rosaceae. The record is from RNAcentral.
AUGGCUAAGUUUACAAUCCCUUGUUUCGUCCUCAUUUUGGUGCUCUUGUCAACCACCAAUGGUUUGUUUCAAUGAUCUUCAAUCAUAUAUAUUUUAUUCUUUUUCCUGUUAGUUAGGCUUUUCAAUUAAGUAUUUACAAUCUCCUAUAUAUAUGGUCAAACAGAUGUCCAUGCAUGCAAGCUAUUAAGGUUUUUUUCCUUUUUCGUUGAUCAUAUCAAUGUAUGAGUCGAUAGAAAAUCCAAAUUGGAUCAAUUUUAAUUACUUUUAAACUAAGAAUCUAGAGUUUAUUCAAGCGCGUAAACUCAUGUCUACACUUGUUUUUCCUGUAAAUAUUUUGUAAUAUAAUUUUAUAUAUUGCAGAGUUUGUUCAAGAGGCUUUUAGUUUUUCAAUUUUUGGUUCAUUUCAUAAUAAGACUGUAAUCUUUUUGGCGAAUUAAUUAAUUGUCCUUUUUUUUUUUCUUAAUUUCAGUUUGGAAGAUUGCAACUGUUGAAGGGUCUAAGUGUUGUACUAAUCAUCCUGAACUUGGAAAUUGUGUCCCUGGUGCGGAUGACAACCCAAACGGUGGAAAAUGCUGGACAUUUUGCACUUCAGAUUGUGAGAAAGGAGGAAUCUGCAAACUAUUUGGCGACCAUCAUCAUUGCCAUUGCUUAUGUUGA